GGACUACUGGUCCCAGUGGGGCAUAGCCUAGGCCUGCUCUGGGGUUAAAGCAGGAGCUGGAUUGAGGUAAGUUUGCACCUAGGGAUGAUCCAUGGCAGCUUUCUAAACUCAGUCUGGAGGAGAAAAAGGAGAGAAUGGAUGAAUAUAAGCAAAGAGCUGUCAUUAGCCAGCAAGACCCAGUAACCACAGAGCAAACAAAAAUUGCCGCUUUGGAGACACCAGCAAGCACUUUCUGAAGUUACGGGCUUUAGCUGCUGCAGAAACUUCAUUUGGAACCAGCAAUUAAAACCAGGAGAAGAUGAGUGAGGAGCAGCAUAUCAAGAUACGCCAGAUUUUUAUUUGCCAUCCAUCUCCUUUUGUCCCUGAUUUUCUGAAAAAAAUAAAUCUCCCUCUCCUUUGCCUGCCAGAGGUCCCAAAAUGUACUAAACACGAGACAGCCAUGUCCACACCCUUGCACAGGUCCGGCGGUAGAGACAA
Long non-coding RNA from Cygnus olor (mute swan), 477 nucleotides. RefSeq lists it as uncharacterized. The transcript is spliced from 4 exons. Lineage: Eukaryota; Metazoa; Chordata; Aves; Anseriformes; Anatidae. The record is from RefSeq and is a predicted model, not a curated record.